CCUACGGGGGGCAGCAGUGAGGAAUAUUGGUCAAUGGCCGUAAGGCUGAACCAGCCAAGUAGCGUGAGGGAAGACUGCCCUAUGGGUUGUAAACCUCUUUUAUGCGGGGAUAAAGGUGUCCACGUGUGGAUGUUUGCAGGUACCGCAUGAAUAAGGACCGGCUAAUUCCGUGCCAGCAGCCGCGGUAAUACGGAAGGUCCGGGCGUUAUCCGGAUUUAUUGGGUUUAAAGGGAGCGUAGGCCGGUCUUUAAGCGUGCCGUGAAAUUUUGUGGCUCAACCAUGAGAGUGCGGCGCGAACUGGAGAC
This 305-nucleotide ribosomal RNA is filed under the name uncultured bacterium. RNAcentral describes it as "bacterial SSU rRNA". It matches the Rfam family "Bacterial small subunit ribosomal RNA", at positions 338 to 640 of the family's 1533-position model. The record is from RNAcentral.